GGAAGUGAACCAUCUCAGUAGCCGGAGGAAAAGACAUCAACCGAGAUUCCGUUAGUAGUGGCGAGCGAACGCGGACCAGGCCAGUGCCCAUCAUUCAAGUAGCAGAACACUCUGGAAAGUGUGGCCAUAGCGGGUGACAGCCCCGUAUGCGAAACUGAUGUGAUGGGACUCGAGUAGGGCGGGACACGUGUAAUCCUGUCUGAACAUGGGGGGACCACCCUCCAAGCCUAAAUACUCGUACAUGACCGAUAGCGAACUAGUACCGUGAGGGAAAGGUGAAAAGCACCCCGAUGAGGGGAGUGAAACAGUACCUGAAACGGAUUGCCUACAAGCAGUAGGAGCCUCUUUAUGGGGUGACUGCGUACCUCCUGCAUAAUGAGCCGGCUAGUU
Molecule: ribosomal RNA, 390 nt
Filed under: uncultured Alphaproteobacteria bacterium
Lineage: Bacteria; Pseudomonadati; Pseudomonadota; Alphaproteobacteria
Description: bacterial LSU rRNA
Rfam family: Bacterial large subunit ribosomal RNA
Source: RNAcentral